ACAAGCGGUGGAGUAUGUGGUUAAUUCGAUGAUACGCGAGGAACCUUACCUGGGCUCAAAUGUAUGUUGACGUAUUCUGAAAGGGAUACUUCUUCGGACAAUAUACAAGGUGCUGCAUGGUUGUCGUCAGCUCGUGCCGUGAGGUGUCGGGUUAAGUCCCAUAACGAGCGCAACCCCUAUCAUUAGUUGCCAUCAGGUCAAGCUGGGGACUCUAAUGAAACUGCCUACGCAAGUAGUGAGGAAGGUGGGGAUGACGUCAAAUCAGCACGGCCCUUACGUCCAGGGCUACACACGUGCUACAAUGGCCGGUACAAAGGGCAGCUACCUGGUGACAGGAUGCUAAUCUCAAAAGCCGGUCUCAGUUCGGAUCGGAGUCUGCAACCCGACUCCGUGAAGCUGGAAUCGCUAGUAAUCGUGAAUCAGAAUGUCACGGUGAAUACGUUCCCGGGCCUU
RNAcentral lists this ribosomal RNA (453 nucleotides) under uncultured Sphingobacteriales bacterium. RNAcentral describes it as "bacterial SSU rRNA". It matches the Rfam family "Bacterial small subunit ribosomal RNA", at positions 925 to 1382 of the family's 1533-position model. Lineage: Bacteria; Pseudomonadati; Bacteroidota; Sphingobacteriia; Sphingobacteriales. The record is from RNAcentral.